RNAcentral lists this ribosomal RNA (253 nucleotides) under uncultured bacterium. RNAcentral's name for it is "partial 16S ribosomal RNA". It matches the Rfam family "Bacterial small subunit ribosomal RNA", at positions 524 to 776 of the family's 1533-position model. The record is from RNAcentral.
UACGAAGGGGGCUAGCGUUGUUCGGAAUUACUGGGCGUAAAGCGCACGUAGGCGGACUGUUAAGUCAGGGGUGAAAUCCUGGAGCUCAACUCCAGAACUGCCUUUGAUACUGAUGGUCUCGAGUCCGGAAGAGGUGAGUGGAAUUCCGAGUGUAGAGGUGAAAUUCGUAGAUAUUCGGAGGAACACCAGUGGCGAAGGCGGCUCACUGGUCCGGUACUGACGCUGAGGUGCGAAAGCGUGGGGAGCAAACGGG